This 145-nucleotide small nucleolar RNA is filed under the name Dipodomys ordii (Ord's kangaroo rat). RNAcentral's name for it is "Small nucleolar RNA SNORA67 (ENSDORG00000022885.2)". Lineage: Eukaryota; Metazoa; Chordata; Mammalia; Rodentia; Heteromyidae. The record is from RNAcentral.
GUUCAGGGGGCCUUUAAGAAUAUAAAGCUACAACUAUAAAAUUAAGCACACUCAGGAAAGUAGCAACUUGGAAAAAAAAAUCUAGCAUGCCUAAAGUUUUCAGGAGAUGCAUAUUUCCUUUGUCUUUCUUAGGCUGCCUGCAUGU